GUUCAGUGAUGUUUUACAAAUGUCUGACCUGAAUGCUUUAAUGUAGACGGUUCCUUACUGAGUAA
This is a small nucleolar RNA of Electrophorus electricus (electric eel), 65 nucleotides long. The record is from RefSeq and is a predicted model, not a curated record. Lineage: Eukaryota; Metazoa; Chordata; Actinopteri; Gymnotiformes; Gymnotidae.